This is a long non-coding RNA of Eutrema salsugineum, 382 nucleotides long. RefSeq lists it as uncharacterized. The transcript has 3 exons. NCBI's taxonomy places the organism in Eukaryota, Viridiplantae, Streptophyta, Magnoliopsida, Brassicales, Brassicaceae. The record is from RefSeq and is a predicted model, not a curated record.
CUCUCCGACUCUUCUCUUCCUCUCCGACUCUCAAUCAAGAUCAAUUGUCCCUUCUUUCCAGUUUUUUGUUCCCAUUUCGUGUUUCUGGAUAACUGGCGAAUUCGUCGGGCAUGUUAAGUACUUCAACGACGAAUUCGUCGGGCAGCUUGGCUCGUGAUAGUUUGACUAGAGAGAAAAAAAAAGACUUGAAAGAGCAGAAGAGACUUUCAAAGCCCUUGAUCUCAACAGAAGAGCAGAAGAGCAGAAGAGACCCUCUGUUAAAGAGCUGUUUUGGUUUUGAUACUUUUUUGCUACCGACGUUUGUCGGUUUGGAGAUGGAGGAAUUUUCAUUGGGAAUCUGAGAAAAGCCAUUGAUGAGGUCACACCUAAGCUUGAAGCUAAG